AUAUCAUAAGCGGAGGAAAAGAAACCAACAGGGAUUGCCCUAGUAACGGCGAGUGAAGCGGCAACAGCUCAAAUUUGAAAUCUGGCUCUUUUAGAGUCCGAGUUGUAAUUUGCAGAGGGCGCUUUGGCUUUGGCAGCGGUCCAAGUUCCUUGGAACAGGACGUCACAGAGGGUGAGAAUCCCGUACGUGGUCGCUAGCUAUUGCCGUGUAAAGCCCCUUCGACGAGUCGAGUUGUUUGGGAAUGCAGCUCUAAAUGGGAGGUAAAUUUCUUCUAAAGCUAAAUAUUGGCCAGAGACCGAUAGCGCACAAGUAGAGUGAUCGAAAGAUGAAAAGCACUUUGGAAAGAGAGUCAAACAGCACGUGAAAUUGUUGAAAGGGAAGCGCUUGCAGCCAGACUUGCUUGCAGUUGCUCAUCCGGGCUUUUGCCCGGUGCACUCUUCUGCAGGCAGGCCAGCAUCAGUUUGGGCGGUGGGAUAAAGGUCUCUGACACGUUCCUUCCUUCGGGUUGGCCAUAUAGGGGAGACGUCAUACCACCAGCCUGGACUGAGGUCCGCGCAUCUGCUAGGAUGCUGGCGUAAUGGCUGUAAGCGGCCCGUCUUGAAACACGGACCAAGGAGUCUAACAUCUAUGCGAGUGUUUGGGUGUCAAGCCCGAGCGCGUAAUGAAAGUGAACGGAGGUGGGAACCCGCAMGGGUGCACCAUCGACCGAUCCUGAAGUUUACGGAAGGAUUUGAGUAAGAGCAUGGCUGUUGGGACCCGAAAGAUGGUGAACUAUGCUUGAAUAGGGUGAAGCCAGAGGAAACUCUGGUGGAGGCUCGCAGCGGUUCUGACGUGCAAAUCGAUCGUCAAAUUUGGGCAUAGGGGCGAAAGACUAAUCGAACUAUC
RNAcentral lists this ribosomal RNA (885 nucleotides) under Curvularia tanzanica. RNAcentral's name for it is "partial large subunit ribosomal RNA". The record is from RNAcentral. Lineage: Eukaryota; Fungi; Ascomycota; Dothideomycetes; Pleosporales; Pleosporaceae.